GCUCCAACGAAAACGACACUGCCGCAUUUUUAAACAUUGACGUAUUCGUGCUUUGUGAUAAAUCAUAUUUCAAUAAUAUUCUGAAAAUUGAUAACUGCCGUCAUUUCCAUAAUUUAUGGCNACGUUUUGCAUAUUUCCGUUUAGGGAUACCGAUUGUUUUUUUUUUUUUUUUUUUUUUUUUUUUUGCUACCCGGAAUCAAAAUGUGGCGGUGUUCCGCUAGAAUAUAUUUAAAACCAAAAACAACCGUUACUGUGACUUCUCAAUAAUCGGAAACGUCGUGUUGUUGCAGAUACAAUACGAAAAAGCUGUUCUAGGAUAAUGGGGACGGGAGUGCAGCCACUGUAGUAGACGGGAAGUUGGGGAGAACGGAUACGGGAGGGAAUUCAAU
Molecule: non-coding RNA, 389 nt
Organism: Cinara cedri
Lineage: Eukaryota; Metazoa; Arthropoda; Insecta; Hemiptera; Aphididae
Source: the annotation of a GenBank genome assembly